RNAcentral lists this transfer RNA (83 nucleotides) under Phycisphaerae bacterium. RNAcentral describes it as "tRNA-Tyr". It matches the Rfam family "tRNA". Rfam says of the family: Transfer RNA (tRNA) molecules are approximately 80 nucleotides in length. Their secondary structure includes four short double-helical elements and three loops (D, anti-codon, and T loops). RNAcentral also lists the same sequence under 1 other name. The record is from RNAcentral. Lineage: Bacteria; Pseudomonadati; Planctomycetota; Phycisphaerae.
GGGUCGGUGCCCGAGAGGCUAAAGGGGACGGGCUGUAAACCCGUUAGCGUAAGCUUACGCAGGUUCGAAUCCUGCCCGGCCCA